This 428-nucleotide ribosomal RNA is filed under the name uncultured Bacillota bacterium. RNAcentral's name for it is "bacterial SSU rRNA". It matches the Rfam family "Bacterial small subunit ribosomal RNA", at positions 958 to 1385 of the family's 1533-position model. Lineage: Bacteria; Bacillati; Bacillota. The record is from RNAcentral.
AACGCGAAGAACCUUACCAGGUCUUGACAUCCCGGUGACCACUAUGGAGACAUAGUUUCCCCUUCGGGGGCAACGGUGACAGGUGGUGCAUGGUUGUCGUCAGCUCGUGUCGUGAGAUGUUGGGUUAAGUCCCGCAACGAGCGCAACCCUUAUUCUUAGUUGCCAUCAUUCAGUUGGGCACUCUAAGGAGACUGCCGGUGAUAAACCGGAGGAAGGUGGGGAUGACGUCAAAUCAUCAUGCCCCUUAUGACCUGGGCUACACACGUGCUACAAUGGACGGUACAAACGGUUGCCAACCCGCGAGGGGGAGCUAAUCCGAUAAAACCGUUCUCAGUUCGGAUUGUAGGCUGCAACUCGCCUACAUGAAGCCGGAAUCGCUAGUAAUCGCGGAUCAGCAUGCCGCGGUGAAUACGUUCCCGGGCCUUGUA